This 92-nucleotide transfer RNA is filed under the name Roseibacillus sp. RNAcentral describes it as "tRNA-Ser". It matches the Rfam family "tRNA". Rfam says of the family: Transfer RNA (tRNA) molecules are approximately 80 nucleotides in length. Their secondary structure includes four short double-helical elements and three loops (D, anti-codon, and T loops). The record is from RNAcentral. Lineage: Bacteria; Pseudomonadati; Verrucomicrobiota; Verrucomicrobiia; Verrucomicrobiales; Verrucomicrobiaceae.
GGAGAGGUGGCUGAGUCCGGUUUAAGGCACACGACUCGAAAUCGUGCGACGUGUUAAAGCGUCCGUGGGUUCGAAUCCCACCCUCUCCGCCA